CCUGGCUAUCUGUAAUGAUAUCUGAGUGUUGGAGUGUUCCCCUGGCUAUCUGUAAUGAUGUCUGAGUGUUGGAGUGUUCCCCUGGCUAUCUGUAAAUGAUGUGUGAGUGUUGGAGUGUUCCCCUGGCUAUCUGUAAUGACGUGUGAGUGUUGGAGUGCCCCUGGCUAUCUGUAAAUGAUGUGUGAGUGUUGGAGUGUUCCCCUGGCUAUCUGUAAUGAUAUCUGAGUGUUGGAGUGUUCCCCUGGCUAUCUGUAAAUGAUGUCUGAGUGUUGGAGUGUUCCCCUGGCUAUCUGUAAAUGAUGUCUGAGUGUUGGAGUGUUCCCCUGGCUAUCUGUAAAUGAUGUCUGAGUGUUGGAGUGUUCCCCUGGCUGUCUGUAAAUGAUGUCUGAGUGUUGGAGUGUUCCCCUGGCUAUCUGUAAAUGAUGUCUGAGUGUUGGAGUGUUCCCCUGGCUAUCUGUAAAUGAUGUCUGAGUGUUGGAGUGUUCCCCUGGCUAUCUGUAAUGAUGUCUGAGUGUUGGAGUGUACCCCUGGCUAUCUGUAAAUGAUGUCUGAGUGUUGGAGUGUUCCCCUGGCUAUCUGUAAUGAUGUCUGAGUGUUGGAGUGUUCCCCUGGCUAUCUGUAAAUGAUGUGUGAGUGUUGGAGUGCCCCUGGCUUUCUGUAAUGAUUUCUGAGUGUGAUUGUGUUCCCUGGCUAUCUGUAAUGAUGUCUGAGUGUUGGAGUGUUCCCCCUGGCUAUCUGUAAUGAUGUCUGAGUGUUCCCCUGGCUAUCUGUAAUGAUAUCUGAGUGUUGGAGUGUUCCCCUGGCUAUCUGUAAAUGAUGUCUGAGUGUUGGAGUUGUUCCCUGGCUAUCUGUAAUGAUAUCUGAGUGUUGGAGUGUUCCCCUGGCUAUCUGUAAUGAUGUCUGAGUGUUGGAGUGUUCCCCUGGCUAUCUGUAAAUGAUGUCUGAGUGUUGGAGUGUUCCCCUGGCUGUCUGUAAAUGAUGUCUGAGUGUUGGAGUGUUCCCCUGGCUAUCUGUAAAUGAUGUCUGAGUGUUGGAGUGUUCCCCUGGCUAUCUGUAAAUGAUGUCUGAGUGUUGGAGUGUUCCCCUGGCUAUCUGUAAAUGAUGUCUGAGUGUUGGAGUGUUCCCCUGGCUGUCUGUAAAUUAUGUCUGAGUGUUGGAGUGUUCCCCUGGCUAUCUGUAAAUGAUGUCUGAGUGUUGGAGUGUUCCCCUGGCUGUCUGUAAAUGAUGUCUGAGUGUUGGAGUGUUCCCCUGGCUAUCUGUAAAUGAUGUCUGAGUGUUGGAGUGUUCCCCUGGCUAUCUGUAAUGAUGUCUGAGUGUUGGAGUGUUCCCUGGCUAUCUGUAAUGAUGUCUGAGUGUUGGUGUUGUUCCCUGGCUAUCUGUAAUGAUGUCUGAGUGUUGGAGUGUUCCCCUGGCUAUCUGUAAAUGAUGUCUGAGUGUUGGAGUGUUCCCCUGGCUGUCUGUAAAUGAUGUCUGAGUGUUGGAGUGUUCCCCUGGCUGUCUGUAAAUGAUGUCUGAGUGUUGGAGUGUUCCCCUGGUUACCUGUAAAUUUUGCAAACAAGUAAACUGUGCCGUCUGGUUUGCUAAAUAUAAGGAAUUUGAAAUUAUUUAUACUUUUACUUUUACUUUUGAUACUUAAGUAUAUUUUAACAAUUACAUAUAUUUUUGAUAAUUAAGUACAUUUUAAACCAAAUAUUUUUAGACUUUAACUCAAGUAGUAUUUUACUAGGUGACCUUUACUUUUACUUGAGUCAUUUUCAAUUAAGGUAUCAUUACUUUUACUCAAGUAUGACAAUUGGGUACUUUCCACCACUGCCAGUACCCAGUCGAUGUGCAGGUGUACGAUGUAAUUGAGGUCGAUAUGUACAUAUAGGGAUAAAGUGACUAAGCAGCAGGAUAGAUAAUAAACCGUAGCAGCAGUGUAUGUGAAGAGUCCAAAAAAAGUUAGUGGAAUAAGGUUCAAUGCAGAUCAAUCUGGGUAGCUAUUUAACUAACUAUUUAACUAACUAUUUAACUAACUAUUUAGUAGUCUUAUGCCUUGGAGGUCGAAGCUGUUCAGGAUCCUGUUGGUUCCAGACUUGGUGCAUCGGAACCGCUCGCCGUGCGGUAGCAGAGAGAACUGUCUGUGACUGGGGUGGCUGGAGUCUUUGACUAUUGUUAGGACCUUCCUCUGACACCACCUGGGAUAGAGGUCCUUGAUGGCAGGAAGCUUGGUCCCAGUGAUGAACUGGGCCGUACACACUACCUUCUGUAGCGUCUUACGGUCAGAUGCCAAGCCGUUACCAUACCAAGUGGUGAAGCAGCCAGUCAAGAUGCUCUCAAUGGCGCAGCUGUAGAACUUUCUGAGGAUCUGAGGACUCAUGCUGAAUCUUCUUCCUGAGAGGAAAGAGGCGUUGUCAUGCUCUCUUCACGACUGUAUUGUGUGUGUGUGGACCAUGAUAAUUCCUUAUUGAUGUGGACACCAAGGAACUUUAAACUCUCGACUCGCUCCACUGCAGCCCCAUCAAUGUGCUCGGCUGACCUCCUCCCUAUAGGCUGUCUCAUCGUUGAGGGAGAGGUUGUUAUCCUGACACCACACUGCCAGGUCUCUGACCUCCUCCCUAUAGGCUGUCUCAUCGUUGAGGGAGAGGUUGUUAUCCUGACACCACACUGCCAGGUCUCUGACCUCCUCCCUAUAGGCUGUCUCAUCGUUGAGGGAGAGGUUGUUGUCCUGACACCACACUGCCAGGUCUCUGACCUCCUCCCUAUAGGCUGUCUCAUCAGGCCAACCACCGUCGAGUCGUCAGUAAACCUAAUGAUGGUGUUGGAGUCAUGCAAUCGUGGGUGAACAGGGGGUACAGGAAUCACCCCUGAGGGGUCCCCUUGUUGAGAGUCAGCGUGGUGGAUGUGUUGUCACCUACCCUUACCACCUGGGGGCGGCCCGUCAGGAAGUCCGGGAUCCACUUGCAGAGGGAGGUGUUCAGUCCCAGGGUCCUGAUCUUAGUGAUGAGUUUGAAGGGCACAAUGGUGUUGAAUGCUGAGCUAUCAAUGAGGGAUCAUAGCUUUCACCUGGAUUCACCUGGUCAGUCUAUGUCAUGGAAAAGAGCAUGUGUUCCUAAUGUUUUGUACACUCAGUUUAUAAUGUCCUUAUUCAGUCAUGAUUCUGAAAAGCAUAGGAUAUUACAGUUGUUGGGGUCUUGUUGAUGGGAUAGUCUCGAAUGGAUCUCAUCCAGGUUGUUGGGGUCUUGUUGAUAGGAUAGUCUCGAAUGGAUCUCGUCCGGGUUGUUGGGGUCUUGUUGAUGGGAUAGUCUUGAAUGGAUCUCAUCCAGGUUGUUGGGGUCUUGUUGAUGGGAUAGUCUCGAAUGGAUCUCGUCCGGGUUGUUGGGGUCUUGUUGAUGGGAUAGUCUCGAAUGGAUCUCGUCCGGGUUGUUGGGGUCUUGUUGAUGGGAUAGUCUCGAAUGGAUCUCGUCCGGGUUGUUGGGGUCUUGUUGAUAGGAUAGUCUCGAAUGGAUCUCGUCCGGGUUGUUGGGGUCUUGUUGAUAGGAUAGUCUCGAAUGGAUCUCGUCCGGGUUGUUGGGGUCUUGUUGAUAGGAUAGUCUCGAAUGGAUCUCAUCCGGGUUGUUGGGGUCUUGUUGAUGGGAUAGUCUCGAAUGGAUCUCGUCCGGGUUGUUGGGGUCUUGUUGAUAGGAUAGUCUCGAAUGGAUCUCGUCCGGGUUGUUGGCGUCUUGUUGAUGGGAUAGUCUCGAAUGGAUCUCGUCCGGGUUGUUCUCCAGUGUACAAUAGAACAGCGGAGAGGAGGAGGAGGAGGAGACGAGGAAGAUGAGGUUGUAGAGGUGGUUUAUUUAGCUCGUCUGCCUCUCUUCCUCUUUCCAGUCCCCGUGGAUUAGGGCCUGGUCCGGAACGAGCAGUACAUCCACAGCUGCCGACUCGUUGAAGUAGAAAUCCAAAUCCAAAUCGAGGUUAGUGAUCGCUGUUCUGAUGUCCAGAAGAUGUUUUCGGUUGUAGGAAAUGAUCUCGGAAACAUUAUGUAAAAUAAAUAAGUUAAGACCACUAAAAAAAAAAUGGUGGGGGGGGGCAGAAUUGGUCAGGAGCCUGCAAGACAGCAGCUGUCCACUGCAGUCCUGUCAUGUUCAGUUAUGACUGGGGGAGGGGAAGCUGAUCCUAGAUCUGUCCCUAGUGGAAACUUCACCCUGGUGCAGUGUGGUCGGAGCUCAAUCAAGUUCAUCCAAUCCCUCCACCCUCCACACCAUCAUAAGCCCCGUCCACUGCCAGGGUUGCUGGGAGUUGUAGGCGUCUGUUUGGAGUGUGUGACUGCAGCUGUGUGUGUCCUCUCCUGUUUUCUCUGCUGUAUCCAGCGAUAGCAAUAAUUCCUCUCACUCUACCUUUCUCUUGUUCUCAUUUUUCUGUUAUUAUCGAUCUCCCCCCCAUCCUUCUUGUUCACAACCCAGGCUAGGUUUGGUUCCUGUAGUGGUGUGAUGUGUGUGUGUGUGUGUUUGGUGUAGUCGUCUGUAUUACAGUAUUUGUUCUGUUUAGGAGGUUGUAGGUGGGAAGGGG
This is a long non-coding RNA of Oncorhynchus tshawytscha (Chinook salmon), 4530 nucleotides long. The record is from Ensembl. NCBI's taxonomy places the organism in Eukaryota, Metazoa, Chordata, Actinopteri, Salmoniformes, Salmonidae.